CUGACAUGUCUGCGAGUCAACGGGGGAGUAAACCCGUACGACGCAAGGAAGCUAAUUGGCGGGAUCCCCUAGCGGGUGCACCGCCGACCGACCUUGAUCUUUUGAGAAGGCUUCGAGUGUGAGCAUACCUGUCGUGACCUGAAAGAUGGUGAACUAUGCCUGAGCGGGGCGAAGCCAGAGGAAACUCUGGUGGAGGCCCGAAGCAAUACUGACGUGCAAAUCGUUCGUCUGACUUGGGUAUAGGGGGAAAGACUAAUCGAACCGUCUAGUAGCUGG
Beta vulgaris subsp. vulgaris (sugar beet) is the source of this 276-nucleotide non-coding RNA. The record is from Rfam. NCBI's taxonomy places the organism in Eukaryota, Viridiplantae, Streptophyta, Magnoliopsida, Caryophyllales, Amaranthaceae.